GACGUAGGUCCCGAGCGUUGUCCGGAUUUAUUGGGCGUAAAGCGAGCGCAGGUGGUUUAUUAAGUCUGGUGUAAAAGGCAGUGGCUCAACCAUUGUAUGCAUUGGAAACUGGUAGACUUGAGUGCAGGAGAGGAGAGUGGAAUUCCAUGUGUAGCGGUGAAAUGCGUAGAUAUAUGGAGGAACACCGGUGGCGAAAGCGGCUCUCUGGCCUGUAACUGACACUGAGGCUCGAAAGCGUGGGGAGCAAACAGG
Molecule: ribosomal RNA, 252 nt
Filed under: uncultured bacterium
Lineage: Bacteria
Description: partial 16S ribosomal RNA
Rfam family: Bacterial small subunit ribosomal RNA
Source: RNAcentral